CCCUACGACCUCUGUUUCAGGAUAAAAUACCUAUACUUGUCUGUCAAAAAUGUUAUCCACCUUUCUUAAAAAUGCUGCAAUGGCUCUGUUGACAAUCAUCUCUGUUAUGCCAUAUAAUCUUUCUGCUGACCCCUGCGACAACUACACUGUGCUGGAUGAUCCAAGAAGAGACACCAAUUAUAAUUCCUCCAUCUACAUGUGUGACACCUCUGUCAAUUGGGUUGGCUGGUAUCGGCUUUACCUUAAUGGCCAAAAUGCUCAAAUGCCAGAAACAUGUGUUGUUAACUCAAGGUGUGGUACUGAUAUCCCACUAUGGCUAAGAGGUGGACACCCAAAACCUGAGGAUGGAGUGGUCACCAGAGGUGUUUGUGGUCGUUCGUUCAGUUACUGUUGCUUUUUCCGGUCAUUUCCCAUUAGAGUCAAAGCUUG
This is a long non-coding RNA of Paramisgurnus dabryanus, 429 nucleotides long. RefSeq lists it as uncharacterized. Lineage: Eukaryota; Metazoa; Chordata; Actinopteri; Cypriniformes; Cobitidae. The record is from RefSeq and is a predicted model, not a curated record.